Molecule: ribosomal RNA, 468 nt
Filed under: uncultured bacterium
Lineage: Bacteria
Description: partial 16S ribosomal RNA
Rfam family: Bacterial small subunit ribosomal RNA
Source: RNAcentral
GACGAACGCUGGCGGCGUGCUUAACACAUGCAAGUCGAACGGACAGGCCCUGCUUUUGUGGGGUGCUCGAGAGGCGAACGGGUGAGUAAAACGUGAGUAUACUGCCCUUGACUGUGGGAUAACUUCAGGAAACUGGGGCGAAUACCCGAUAGAAGCUCCUGCUGCAUGUGGGGCGUUGGCAAGUCUCGGCGGUGUGGGAUGGAAUCGCGGCUUAUCAGCUUGUUGGGGGGGUAGUGGCUUACGAAGGCUUUGACGGGUAGCCGGCCUGGGAGGGUGACCGGCGUCAGUAGGACUGCGAUACGGACCAGUCGCCUACGGACGGCAGCAGUCGGGAACAUUGCACAAUAGGGCGGCGCGUGUUGCAGCGACGCCCCGUUCGUGAUGCUGUCUUACGGGUUGUGAACAGCUUUCUCCUGUAACGUAGCGUUCGUGACGGUAAUGUGUAAGGAAGCACCGGCUAACUACGUG